RNAcentral lists this ribosomal RNA (253 nucleotides) under uncultured bacterium. RNAcentral describes it as "partial 16S ribosomal RNA". It matches the Rfam family "Bacterial small subunit ribosomal RNA", at positions 524 to 776 of the family's 1533-position model. The record is from RNAcentral.
UACGUAGGGGGCAAGCGUUGUCCGGAUUUAUUGGGCGUAAAGAGCGUGUAGGCGGCCAGGUAGGUCAGCUGUGAAAACUCGAGGCUCAACCUCGAGACGUCGGUUGAAACCACCUGGCUAGAGUCCGGAAGAGGAGAGUGGAAUUCCUGGUGUAGCGGUGAAAUGCGCAGAUAUCAGGAGGAACACCGAUUGCGAAGGCAGCUCGCUGGGACGUUACUGACGCUGAGACGCGAAAGCGUGGGGAGCAAACAGG